RNAcentral lists this ribosomal RNA (612 nucleotides) under Aspergillus elegans. RNAcentral's name for it is "eukaryotic LSU rRNA". The stretch from base 226 to 379 matches the Rfam family "5.8S ribosomal RNA". The record is from RNAcentral. Lineage: Eukaryota; Fungi; Ascomycota; Eurotiomycetes; Eurotiales; Aspergillaceae.
GUGAUUAGUUUCGUAGGUGACCUGCGGAGGAUCAUUACUGAGUGAGGGUUCCUUCGGGGCCCAACCUCCCACCCUUGUAUACCGUACCUAGUUGCUUCGGCGGGCCCGCCGUUCACGCGGCCGCCGGGGGGGGGUUUCCCCCCCGGGCGAGCGCCCGCCGGAGACACCAACGUGAACACUGUCUGAAGUUUUGUCGUCUGAGUCGAUUGUAUCGCAAUCAGUUAAAACUUUCAACAAUGGAUCUCUUGGUUCCGGCAUCGAUGAAGAACGCAGCGAAAUGCGAUAAUUAAUGUGAAUUGCAGAAUUCAGUGAAUCAUCGAGUCUUUGAACGCACAUUGCACCCCCUGGUAUUCCGGGGGGUAUGCCUGUCCGAGCGUCAUUUCUGCCCUCAAGCACGGCUUGUGUGUUGGGUCCUCGUCCCCCCGGGGACGGGCCCGAAAGGCAGCGGCGGCACCGCGUCCGGUCCUCGAGCGUAUGGGGCUUUGUCACCCGCUCUUGUAGGCCCGGCCGGCGCUGGCCGACGCUGAAAAGCAACCAAUUAUUUUUCCAGGUUGACCUCGGAUCAGGUAGGGAUACCCGCUGAACUUAAGCAUAUCAAUAAGCCGGAGGCAC